This 429-nucleotide ribosomal RNA is filed under the name Bacteroidota bacterium. RNAcentral's name for it is "Bacteroidetes bacterium partial 16S ribosomal RNA". It matches the Rfam family "Bacterial small subunit ribosomal RNA", at positions 355 to 776 of the family's 1533-position model. The record is from RNAcentral. Lineage: Bacteria; Pseudomonadati; Bacteroidota.
UAGGGAAUCUUCGGCAAUGGGGGGAACCCUGACCGAGCAACGCCGCGUGAGUGAAGAAGGUUUUCGGAUCGUAAAGCUCUGUUGUUAAGGAAGAACGAGUGUGAGAAUGGAAAGUUCAUACUGUGACGGUACUUAACCAGAAAGGGACGGCUAACUACGUGCCAGCAGCCGCGGUAAUACGUAGGUCCCGAGCGUUGUCCGGAUUUAUUGGGCGUAAAGCGAGCGCAGGCGGUUAGAUAAGUCUGAAGUUAAAGGCAGUGGCUCAACCAUUGUAAGCUUUGGGAAAUGGUUAAAUUGAGGGGAGAAGGGGAGAGUGGAAUUUCAAGGGGAGGGGUGAAAUGCGUAGAUAUAUGGAGGAACACCGGUGGCGAAAGCGGCUCUCUGGUCUGUAACUGACGCUGAGGCUCGAAAGCGUGGGGAGCGAACAGG